RNAcentral lists this unclassified non-coding RNA (576 nucleotides) under Homo sapiens (human). RNAcentral describes it as "OCA2 melanosomal transmembrane protein (ENSG00000277361.2)". The record is from RNAcentral. Lineage: Eukaryota; Metazoa; Chordata; Mammalia; Primates; Hominidae.
UGUGUGUGAAAGAACAGAACCAACCAAUGACGCCGCUGACUUAUUCCAGGACAAAUCAACCUAGUGGGGAUUUGCCCAACUCUAAAGAUACCCUCAGUGGCCGGCCACGUGCAGAGCCCUAGGCAGGCAAAGGAAGCGUGCCGGGAAGGAGAGGUUCCUGCUUGAGUCCCUGCGGCUGGUCCCCAUGCUCUAAGCGAUCCCAGCCCUGAUGGGCCCUGAGUGCCCUGCAAAGGGCUGUGCUCUCCAGCCACGAGGACACUUUCAAACCGAUGGCAGGGACUUAAAUGAAGUGUUUAAAAAUUCAACUUACCUUUAAAUGGGCAAAUAUUAUCAUAUAGUUUAGUAUUUUGUCCCAUUCAGUCUUUUUUCACCCUAUCUUGGGGAAGGCAUCAAUCUAGUGGUGAAGAUGGACCAAGCCAAGGUUGAGUUAGAUGUGGUAGCCUGUUUUUGUUUCUUCCUAUGAUGGCUUGUCAUUUGUGUAAGAAUUGGUUUUUGGUUUUCGACAUGAAAGAAACAAACGUUAACAAUUUUCAAAAUCAUGGGCCUGGACUUUGCCGGAUUCACUGCACACAUGUU